RNAcentral lists this transfer-messenger RNA (211 nucleotides) under Ignavibacteriaceae bacterium. Its description in RNAcentral is "partial transfer-messenger RNA". It matches the Rfam family "transfer-messenger RNA", at positions 1 to 221 of the family's 374-position model. Rfam says of the family: Bacterial tmRNA, also known as 10Sa RNA or SsrA, is named for its dual tRNA and mRNA-like properties. The record is from RNAcentral. Lineage: Bacteria; Pseudomonadati; Ignavibacteriota; Ignavibacteria; Ignavibacteriales; Ignavibacteriaceae.
GGGGGUGAAUUUGGUUUCGACAGGGUUAUAGAGACAUUGAACUGCGCAUCGUGUUCCCCGAAAGCACGUUAAAAACUUGGGAACAAAAAUAUAACUGGCGAAUAUAACUACGCCUUAGCCGCUUAAUAAAAUAAGUGACUCGUUCACCGGGUGUUCGCAUACCGGUAUUCGGAUGAACGACGUUUAGGUAUGAUAGCUGAUCCCCACGCUC